CAGAUCUCUGGCCCUGCCAUCUACCACUUCCAGCAGGUUGAGGCCCGCGGUGCCGUGUUCUGGGAGCCCUUGCUGUUCGCCAUCGCUCUUUGCGAGGCCUACAGAGUUGGACUUGGGUGGGCUACUCCCCGCUCCGAGGACUUCAACACCUUGAGGGACGACUACGAGCCCGGCAACUUGGGCUUCGACCCCUUGGGUCUCCUCCCCUCUGACCCCGCCGAAAGGAAGGACAUGCAGACCAAAGAGCUCAACAACGGGCGUCUUGCCAUGAUUGCCAUUGCUGCCUUCGUUGCGCAGGAGUUGGUCUCGGGUGAAGAGAUCUUCGUGCAUUUGUUCAAGAGAUUGGGCCUGUAAAGUGACCGUUCAUUGUAAAUACCUCUCUCAACGACGAACGGCAUGGGUUGUGUAUUUAGAGCAGGGUGGUUAAUGAAGCAUCUGCACUGAGUUUAUUGCAGCUAGAAUUCUGAUUGAUUCGCAGUCGUAGCGUUGAUGAUAUCUGCGUGUGCAGAGUGAGCUCUGCCUAAUUUUUGAGGCUACAGAUGCU
Molecule: long non-coding RNA, 544 nt
Filed under: Physcomitrium patens
Lineage: Eukaryota; Viridiplantae; Streptophyta; Bryopsida; Funariales; Funariaceae
Description: long non-coding RNA (PPAT_LNC005678)
Source: RNAcentral